AAACGACUCUCGGCAACGGAUAUCCCGGCUCUCGCAUCGAUGAAGAACGUAGCGAAAUGCGAUACUUGGUGUGAAUUGCAGAAUCCCGUGAACCAUCGAGUCUUUGAACGCAAGUUGCGCCCGAGGCCACUAGGUUAAGGGCACGUCUGCCUGGGUGUCACGC
RNAcentral lists this ribosomal RNA (163 nucleotides) under Cicuta maculata var. maculata. Its description in RNAcentral is "5.8S ribosomal RNA". It matches the Rfam family "5.8S ribosomal RNA". Rfam says of the family: 5.8S ribosomal RNA (5.8S rRNA) is a component of the large subunit of the eukaryotic ribosome. It is transcribed by RNA polymerase I as part of the 45S precursor that also contains 18S and 28S rRNA. Lineage: Eukaryota; Viridiplantae; Streptophyta; Magnoliopsida; Apiales; Apiaceae. The record is from RNAcentral.